AAGAAGGAGUGUUGAUAGUUUUAAUUCUAAAAAGAUAAAAACGAAAAUCAAAAUGGAUACUAAAAGGACUUUUUAGGUUUGGAGUUUGGUUUUAAUUUAGUUUUUAAGUCUUUAAACAAUUUUGUUAUAUUUUAUAAAUGGUAUUAAAAUUGUAGCCAUACAAUGAGAGGUUUGAAGUAAGAGUUAGAGGUGUGGGUGUAUAUGUAUGAUAUCUAAGAACUAAGAAGAAAGAAAAGGGUGUGAUUGUGAGAGCAAGGGAAGUAGGGUAGUCCAUGAAACAGAGGAUAAUGGAAAAGAAAAAGGAGGCAAUUUCUGAGGUGUUAUCUGCCAUUUGAAGCUCAGUCCCCUUUUUCCCAAAGGGGACAAUUUGAUUGUACAAUUAUUGCUUUCUUCUCCUUCACCAUUUCUCCCACAUUUUCCUUCUCCACACUUUCUCAUUUCUUUCAAAAUUUAUUUUUAAUUUUCAUAUCCUUACACGAUUUCAAUCUUUUUCAAAACAUAGUUUUGAAACGAUUUUAAAGGGUGCUUUUGAUUCUUAAAAUUCAUGGAUCUAAUAGUACAAUUUAAUUUUAUAUUUACUAAAUUCUUUUGGGUUUAAAUUUUUAAUUUUUUUUUGAAUUUAUUAAAUAAAGUUGAAAAUGCAAAAACUUGUUUAAGACACACUCUCAAAAGCUUACUAAUCAAAUAGAUGUAACCAUCAAAGUUCAGUGAAAAAUCUAAUUAAAAUUGGUGGUUGACAAUGUGUAUCAAUUUGCAUUCGUCCCAUUUAAAAACAUUCUAACUAUGAUAUAUAAUAACUCAUUUAGAUGAGUGGUAUAGUGCUUUUGUAAUCAAGAUCAAAAAAGAGAAAUUUUCUAAUGUGAUUAAACCUCUUGUUUUUUCAAGGCCAUAGUGAAUUUUGUUCGAAUUUUGAAAUUUUACUCACCAUGAAGCAAUUUUAUAAAAUUGUCUUGAUUUCUUCUCGUUCAUGUGCGACCAACUUUAAGACUAUGCACCAACUCGGCAGUUGCACACGAGCAACUCCAAAUUGUAAAUAUUGAUCUAAAUAUCAAUAUUUGGAAUAUGAAAUUUUGGUAUAUUUGUAAUUGUUUUAAAGUAUUGCUACGUAGUAAUAUAAUUAAAAAUUAAAAUUGAGAAGCAAUCACGUGUUUACUUAGAGGGAGAGAGAGAGAGAAAAAGGCGAAACCAGAGGGUUUUAGGUUUCUUCUUCGCUCAUAGUAAUUGCCCAACGACUUCCAUUCAAUCCUUUUCCACACUCUAAACUUUCCAUCGCCAAACCUAAACAGAGAUUCCCAAUUUCGGAACUGAAAGAAAGAAGGGAUGUACCACGUUCUUCCACCGCAAGAACAGCAUUUCUCUUACAUUACGUACGAUGUCCAAAGACGCCAAUCAAGAUAAAGGCUGUGUCUCUUCGCUCUUUUAUUCGCUGUGUGUUGCUGUUUUUGCUGAUUCGAAUUAAACUUGCGUGUGUUGCUUGAAGUGUGUUUGUUGUUGCUGCGAUUGAGUUAUAUAGUGUAUUCCAUCUUCGAUUCAAUAAUCAUCUAAAUUUCUAUCUUUCGGUGUUUUGUUAGAAAAUUUAUAUAAAAAAAAAAGAGAAAGAGGAGAAUUAGGCUUUGGAGAGAUAUUGGAUGUAAUUUGUUCUGAGUUCUUGUUUUUUUUUCUUCUUCAAUUUCUUUGAUUUAAUAAAAAAGAGUCUGGGUUGUAUAUUUGUAUUCUUA
Long non-coding RNA from Cucumis sativus (cucumber), 1718 nucleotides. RefSeq lists it as uncharacterized. The record is from RefSeq and is a predicted model, not a curated record. NCBI's taxonomy places the organism in Eukaryota, Viridiplantae, Streptophyta, Magnoliopsida, Cucurbitales, Cucurbitaceae. The transcript is spliced from 2 exons.